GAUGAACGCUGUCUACAGGCUUAACACAUGCAAGUCGAGGGGAAACGACGGGGAAGCUUGCUUCCCCGGGCGUCGACCGGCGCACGGGUGAGUAACGCGUAUCCAACCUGCCUCUGACUGAGGGAUAACCCGUCGAAAGUCGGCCUAAUACCUCAUGGCAUCGUCUGCGGGCAUCCAACGACGAUUAAAGAUUUCAUCGGUCAGGGAUGGGGAUGCGUCUGAUUAGCUUGUUGGCGGGGUAACGGCCCACCAAGGCUACGAUCAGUAGGGGUUCUGAGAGGAAGGUCCCCCACAUUGGAACUGAGACACGGUCCAAACUCCUACGGGAGGCAGCAGUGAGGAAUAUUGGUCAAUGGGCGGGAGCCUGGACCAGCCAAGUAGCGUGCAGGAUGACGGCCCUAUGGGUUGUAAACUGCUUUUAUGCGGGGAUAAAGUGAGGGACGUGUCCUUCAUUGCAGGUACCGCAUGAAUAAGGACCGGCUAAUUCCGUG
RNAcentral lists this ribosomal RNA (491 nucleotides) under uncultured bacterium. RNAcentral's name for it is "partial 16S ribosomal RNA". It matches the Rfam family "Bacterial small subunit ribosomal RNA", at positions 28 to 507 of the family's 1533-position model. The record is from RNAcentral.